This 454-nucleotide ribosomal RNA is filed under the name uncultured bacterium. Its description in RNAcentral is "partial 16S ribosomal RNA". It matches the Rfam family "Bacterial small subunit ribosomal RNA", at positions 28 to 507 of the family's 1533-position model. The record is from RNAcentral.
GAUGAACGCUGACAGAAUGCUUAACACAUGCAAGUCUACUUGAACUUCGGUUUGGGUGGCGGACGGGUGAGUAACGCGUAAAGAACUUGCCUCACAGUUAGGGACAACAUUUGGAAACGAAUGCUAAUACCUGAUAUUAUGAUUUUAGGGCAUCCUAGGAUUAUGAAAGCUAUAUGUGCUGUGAGAGAGCUUUGCGUCCCAUUAGCUAGUUGGAGAGGUAACGGCUCACCAAGGCGAUGAUGGGUAGCCGGCCUGAGAGGGUGAACGGCCACAAGGGGACUGAGACACGGCCCUUACUCCUACGGGAGGCAGCAGUGGGGAAUAUUGGACAAUGGACCAAAAGUCUGAUCCAGCAAUUCUGUGUGCACGAUGACGUUUUUCGGAAUGUAAAGUGCUCUCAGUUGGGAAGAAAAAAAUGACGGUACCAACAGAAGAAGAGACGGCUAAAUACGUG